CAUUCCCGGCACUAGAUGGCCCAGGUCAGUUGAUUGUCCAGUCGAGGGAAUUUCUGUCUUUCCAGUUCAUAAGGUGGCGACACUAGCUAACAAUGUGGCGCCCGGAGCGGAAUCGGUUUCUUGCAACAACGACAAAUCUUGUAUGGCCUCCGUUGACCCAUAACCAUGAUGGCCAGACGACUUGCAGUCGGGGUCUUUUUAGGCAUUUGUGUUAGUAUUUACCUGCUGCAAAAUGGCCGAAAUAUUUUCCUCAAAAAAAAAGUGGAGAGACGUGAAACGUGUACCAGAUUUAUAUGCACUGUAGCUGGCCACUGGGCGAGAAUCAAAAGCUAUUGUAGACCACGCACUUCCAGUUCUCCUUAUACUCAUCUCUCAUUUCUUCCAAUGAUUGAAAAUGCUGAGUAGCUGCGGAUCCAGAUUUUUUUUCUUCUGGUGUUUCCUGAAGCUUCUGCGCAUGUGUGGCUCCUGUUCGACAGUGCAAUAUACACUGGUGGACUGUGCUAGUUUGUUAACGCCAUCUGCUCUUAAAUACAUUAGAUGUACGUCAUUCAGAACAACACUGUAGGCUACUUGGAAACAGCACUUAGCUCAAAAAGAUCUAAACGCAUAUCCCUGUGAAUCGAAACUGAUCGAGAUCAAAUAAUGACAGUGCAGAAUAAUGCUGCAUGAAUGCUUCAUGUAAGACUUGAUUUAGUGCAGUAUGAUGCUAUUUACGCAAGCGUUCUGCUUUUCUAUUACGUUGGUUUCUGUUAGGCUAAUGUAUGAAAUUGAUCAGAAUGUGGUCUGUGUUGUCUAUUAGUAGACCUGAGACUGCUUAGAAGGAAUAAACGUGCAAAUCUGUAAAUAUACGUAGAAGCUUCGGGAAACGCAAAAUUUUGGUCUUAAGAUUGAAUAAAAAGGUGGAAAUUCCUAACAAAGUUUGAUCCUGGCCAUGGCCUUGAAAACAACACAAUAGGAAUCAGUCAAGCUUUUAUUUUUCAGUGGCCUUUUUUCCACCCCCUGAUGCCCCCUGGUGUCCACCAAAGACACUCCGUUUACUAGGCCGAGUCGAAAGGGGGGGUUCACGAAGGAACAGAAAGAUGGAAUCAGGGAAGAGUAGUUCCUGUGAUGUCCGGAGAGAAGGGAAAAUAGAGAAAUGAAAGCGGAAGUGAAUCACAAAGCCCAAGCGCGGCUAGGUCAGUACCCUGAACUGAGCUUCCUAGAUCUGGAUGUGAGAUCAAAACAGCCCGUCCCCUGGUGAGAGGGCAUAAAAACGGACGAUAACGGAGCUGGAUGAUUCAAUAGGGGUUUGAUUGUGUCAAACACCUUUUAGUUUUCCUUCAGCCCCUUUCUCCCUCCCUCAGCUCUGUAGGCUAGAGAAGAGAAGGAUGACGUCAUCUGCUCCCUCGGAGCUAGGGUCUGGCUUAGCAGCCGUUUUGUUGCUCAGAGUUUCCCAGAUGUCCUGUGGGAUUUAUCUGUUAUGUUCUCUGUACGUUUCCUUGUGUCACACUACGUUUUUGUUUCACUUUUUUGUUUUUGUUUUACCCCCCCCCCCUUUUUGCUAGCUAGAAAUAAAUGGCUGGAGCAAAAAAGGGGUUUUGAGUACACUUAUGAAUAUGAAUGUAAUUUUAGUCAAGAGGUUAAUGAAGUACAAAACACAUUAAAGGUAGAUGGAUUUCUGUUUUUCUGACUUGAAAAAUAACAUGUAAAGAGCUGUUAUGAAGUCUGUUAUGCAUACAUUAUAAACAGUAGUCCUAGGAACAUGUCAAGAAACUUGGGUUCUGUAUCCACAUAAGCAUGAGCAACACUCGCUUCCUAACAGUUUAUAUUCUCCUUGGUAUCCAACAUCUCUUGCUUUUUCCUCUCUGCCACUUUCAGUUUCUUUUUCCUUCCUCAUUCUGUUCCAUUUCCCCCAUUAUGUCAGCUCUCUAUCUGUACUUUCUCUUGGUUGUAUUGGUUCCUGAGUUAUAACCCCUUUCCCAAAAUAAAAAAGGCAGCUGCCAUGUUUAUUUUCCCCAAUCUGUCUUGGAGCUGACCAAUGACCCUCUUGUCCUCCCCAGACACACACACAUUCACUUCACACUGCAUCUUUGAGGUAUGUAUGUGAUGACUCUGCUGCGUUGUUAGUUUCGACCAGGUGGAGGAAAAAACAGCAUGACCAACCGCGGGCCCCCACCUGAGUGUGGUUACAAGUCAUUUGUGGCGUGUGAGUGAGUGAGUGCGUGUGUGUGUGUGUGUGUGUGUGCGCGAGAGUGUGUUGGCGUGUGCGCACGCGUGAAAAAGGAAAACCAAAACAAAUCUGCCUGUAAGCAGCAUAACCCUCGGGGUAUAGGGACCGCCUGUUUAAAAAUACAAAAGACUUUCAGUGAUUUUGUUCCAGAGCCCUCCCUCUCUCUCUCUCUCUCUCUCUCUCCCUACCCAGUUGUAUAAACUCCAUACUGUACCCAUCUAAUGCCUUUUCACUAGAUGCACAGAAUUGUGUUUUGUAAAAGAACAUUUCUUAUGCCACAGUUUUGCCGUCACGGUGAUCAUUCCCCGACCAAACGCCUGAAAACAGAUGGAGAUUGAAUACUGGUGACGUAACACGCGUAUUUACAAUAUGUCUAGUAAGUUCAAAUGAAUUGUGCCUCCGCUUCGAUAUAUUUAAACGUAGCUGUAUUGAGAUGAUGAGGAUCUUCCAGAUUUCAGAUAAGGUGCCUUUUCUUGGCAUAAGAAAUGUAAAUGGUACACGGCUCGAUUUAUCAAAUGGCAAAAUGGCUUGGAGAAAAUCCUGUGGCUUAGUUUGCUGAAGCUGAUUAUAGUUCUAGGGAGUGGCUAAACUGUUUGGUAUUGUGUAUGUUUAGGUAAAUACUGUGCCAUAGUUUUUAGAGUCCACAAAUAUGUUAUUGUUUUUCUUCUCAAAUAUAUAAAAUGUUUUAAUGUUGCCUGAUAACUUUGUCUCUGGAUUUGAUACAAAGGCUUGUAGCCACAGCUCUCCCAAAGUCCCUCAUUUGUUUUCUUUUAUGUUCCUUUAACUCUUUCCUCUUGUUCUCCUCUCUCCCUCGUUAUUCUCGCUACAAUCAAACAAAUAAAGUAUUAACCUGAUGACCCAACAUAGAGGAAGUUUUGAUGUCUGAUUUGAACACUUGCUGUGAAAGCCGUUGUGUAUUUCUGAGUAUGUAUUCUUAUAUUUAAAAGCGUUUUUUGUAUUCUUAUUUGAAACGUGACAGUGGCAG
Long non-coding RNA from Esox lucius (northern pike), 3194 nucleotides. Lineage: Eukaryota; Metazoa; Chordata; Actinopteri; Esociformes; Esocidae. The record is from Ensembl.